UCCGGGACGCACACACAGGUCAGAAACAAAAAUCAGAUUCAAAAUUUCACUUUUCUUUCGACACUUCAGCUAAUUUGUCAACAACAAGAAGGGUCAAACUCUAAUAGCAUACGUAGUGGGGCGGCAUGGCAUACCAUAGCGCCGCCAUGGCGCCGCACACACCAAAACGCGGGGCGCUAUGCCCAAAAAAAAUUUGAAAGCGCGAUAUUAAUAACGGCGGUAUAAAUGGGGGAUUUGAUUUUUGACCGUUGUAAACGGUCAUUUUACUAAAAAAAAAAAAAAAUUAAUUAUUUUUUCAAACUUUCCUUUAAAUCAAUUCCUCCUCUCCUAUUUUUUUUACCACACACACUCAAACACUCUUUAUCUCUUCCAUUUUUUUUAGAAAUCCUUAAAUUUUAUACAAUGCAUCAAUUCAACCGUGGCUUCAUUCCUCCCCGAUCAAGUGCGGACCCAAACUAAAGUGGUAAUCCUACUCGCCCCGUGUCGCCGGUUCCCACUAGACCCAACCCUUUCGGCUCCGGUUUUCUCGAUUACAAUCAACAAAGUCCCGGGUUCAUGAAUCUUUUGAACCAACCGCUAUCAUGGGACCCUAAUCUCUACGGAUGGAACCCGAAUCAAAACACCGAUGGGAUGGGGUCGUCUCAAGCGUUUGGGUCGGCUCAAGCUUUCGGCUCCCCACUACACGAACCCGAUGUUGUUCCGGAAACACAACCCGAGGUAGCGGAGACGCAAAAAGGAAAAGGAAAAGGAAAAGCAAAACGGCCACAUAAAAAGAAAGUGGAAACCACCACCCGAGCGAAAAAAAUGUGAUAACGUGGGAGAGCCCGAAGAGGAGUAUGCGUUAACCCGCGCUUUCAUCGAUGUUUCGGAGGACCCGGUUAUUUCAAACAAUCAAAGUAAAACCGUUUUUUGGAACCGAAUACGAGAACUUUUUUUCGAUCUCAUGGGUAGAGGAGACGAAUACCGCCUACCGGACUCUAUAUCGAGGAAGUGGACUGAUAUAAACAAGAAAUGCACAAACUUUCAAAUCGUGUACCAACGCUUGUUUUCCGGAUGGAAAAGUGGAAGUAACGAUGAAGACAUUACGCAAGCGGCAUUGGUCGAGUAUACGGAGGCCGGGCGAAAAAACCCGAGUCGUCGUCGAUGUCUAUGGGAACGGAUAUGAGUAACGCAUUUUCGGAGAUAAACAAGCGACUUCAAGACAUACACGAACUCGGUAAUAAACGUUUGGAGGAGAACCGCGAAGUUACGGAGAUUAUGCGGGAUAGACAAUGGGCUCACGACUUUGAGUUCUACUCGAAACCGCAUGACCACUUAACGGGAAAAGCUUUGAAAAUGGCGUUGGCACAAAA
Molecule: long non-coding RNA, 1352 nt
Organism: Helianthus annuus (common sunflower)
Lineage: Eukaryota; Viridiplantae; Streptophyta; Magnoliopsida; Asterales; Asteraceae
Exons: 2
Source: RefSeq, a predicted model, not a curated record